GACGAACGCUGGCGGCGUGCUUAACACAUGCAAGUCGAACGGAAAGGCCCUGCUUUUGUGGGGUGCUCGAGUGGCGAACGGGUGAGUAACACGUGAGUAACCUGCCCUUGACUUUGGGAUAACUUCAGGAAACUGGGGCUAAUACCGGAUAGGAGCUCCUGCUGCAUGGUGGGGGUUGGAAAGUUUCGGCGGUUGGGGAUGGACUCGCGGCUUAUCAGCUUGUUGGUGGGGUAGUGGCUUACCAAGGCUUUGACGGGUAGCCGGCCUGAGAGGGUGACCGGCCACAUUGGGACUGAGAUACGGCCCAGACUCCUACGGGAGGCAGCAGUGGGGAAUAUUGCACAAUGGGCGGAAGCCUGAUGCAGCAACGCCGCGUGCGGGAUGACGGCCUUCGGGUUGUAAACCGCUUUCGCCUGUGACGAAGCGUGAGUGACGGUAAUGGGUAAAGAAGCACCGGCUAACUACGUGCCAGCAGCCGCGGUGAUACGUAGGGUGCGAGCGUUGUCCGGAUUUAUUGGGCGUAAAGGGCUCGUAGGUGGUUGAUCGCGUCGGAAGUGUAAUCUUGGGGCUUAACCCUGAGCGUGCUUUCGAUACGGGUUGACUUGAGGAAGGUAGGGGAGAAUGGAAUUCCUGGUGGAGCGGUGGAAUGCGCAGAUAUCAGGAGGAACACCAGUGGCGAAGGCGGUUCUCUGGGCCUUUCCUGACGCUGAGGAGCGAAAGCGUGGGGAGCGAACAGGCUUAGAUACCCUGGUAGUCCACGCUGUAAACGGUGGGUACUAGGUGUGGGGUCCAUUCCACGGGUUCCGUGCCGUAGCUAACGCUUUAAGUACCCCGCCUGGGGAGUACGGCCGCAAGGCUAAAACUCAAAGGAAUUGACGGGGCCCCGCACAAGCGGCGGAGCAUGCGGAUUAAUUCGAUGCAACGCGUAGAACCUUACCUGGGUUUGACAUGGAUCGGGAGCGCUCAGAGAUGGGUGUGCCUCUUUUGGGGUCGGUUCACAGGUGGUGCAUGGCUGUCGUCAGCUCGUGUCGUGAGAUGUUGGGUUAAGUCCCGCAACGAGCGCAACCCUUGUUCACUGUUGCCAGCACGUUAUGGUGGGGACUCAGUGGAGACCGCCGGGGUCAACUCGGAGGAAGGUGGGGAUGACGUCAAGUCAUCAUGCCCCUUAUGUCCAGGGCUUCACGCAUGCUACAAUGGCUGGUACAGAGAGUGGCGAGCCUGUGAGGGUGAGCGAAUCUCGGAAAGCCGGUCUCAGUUCGGAUUGGGGUCUGCAACUCGACCUCGUGAAGUCGGAGUCGCUAGUAAUCGCAGAUCAGCAACGCUGCGGUGAAUACGUUCCCGGGGCU
RNAcentral lists this ribosomal RNA (1346 nucleotides) under uncultured bacterium. RNAcentral's name for it is "bacterial SSU rRNA". It matches the Rfam family "Bacterial small subunit ribosomal RNA", at positions 28 to 1381 of the family's 1533-position model. The record is from RNAcentral.